AGCAGCCGCGGUAAUUCCAGCUCCAAUAGCGUAUAUUAAAGUUGUUGCAGUUAAAAAGCUCGUAGUUGAAUUUCGGGGUCAGUAGAUUGGUCAUGCCUCCGGUAUGCACUGGUCUUACUGGCUCCUCCUUCCUGAUGAACCGUAAUGCCAUUAAUUUGGUGUUGCGGGGAGACUGGACUGUUACUUUAGAAAAAUUAGAGUGUUUAAAGCAGGCUAACGCUUGAAUACAUUAGCAUGGAAUAAUGAAAUAGGACGUUCGAUCUUAUUUUGUUGGUUUCUAAGAUUGACGUAAUGAUUAAUAGGGAUAGUUGGGGGCAUUAGUAUUCAAUUGUCAGAGGUGAAAUUCUUGGAUUUAUUGAAGACUAACUACUGCGAAAGCAUUUGCCAAGGAUGUUUUCAUUAAUCAAGAACGAAAGUUAGGGGAUCGAAGACGAUCAGAUACCGCCGUAGUCUUAACCAUAAACUAAUGCCGACUAGGGAUCGG
RNAcentral lists this ribosomal RNA (484 nucleotides) under uncultured Entrophospora. RNAcentral's name for it is "SSU rRNA". It matches the Rfam family "Eukaryotic small subunit ribosomal RNA", at positions 569 to 1056 of the family's 1831-position model. Lineage: Eukaryota; Fungi; Glomeromycota; Glomeromycetes; Entrophosporales; Entrophosporaceae. The record is from RNAcentral.